This 253-nucleotide ribosomal RNA is filed under the name uncultured bacterium. RNAcentral's name for it is "partial 16S ribosomal RNA". It matches the Rfam family "Bacterial small subunit ribosomal RNA", at positions 524 to 776 of the family's 1533-position model. The record is from RNAcentral.
UACGGGGGGGGCAAGCGUUGUUCGGAAUUACUGGGCGUAAAGGGCUCGUAGGCGGCCAUCUAAGUCGGAUGUGAAAUCCCCAGGCUUAACCUGGGAACUGCAUCCGAUACUGGAUGGCUUGAAUCCGGGAGAGGGAUGCGGAAUUCCAGGUGUAGUGGUGAAAUGCGUAGAUAUCGGGAGGAACACCAGUGGCGAAGGCGACUUCCUGGCCUGUUAUUGACGCUGAGGCGCGAAAGCUAGGGGAGCAAACGGG